UUAUAGAACUUUGUUUUUAUUUCUAUUUUAUAUUAGUGUUUUAUUUGUAAUGUAUUUAACCUAUAUAUAAUAAAACUAUAUCUUAUUAUAACCAAUACGCUCGCCUGCCAAAGACUCUGAUCAAGACCUGAGCAGAACAGACCACAGAGAAGUCUUCUGAGACCUGUCUUGUAAUUUCGCAUCCCUCUUCAGGAAUAACGGCAGUCACGUCUAGCGGGGAAACCCAGACCGGACCGAACAUGCACCUUAGCAUCUGCGAUUAAAUGGGCAGGGCUCAAACCACUUUUGGUGGAGCGUGAACACACUUUACUGUUAAUCA
Puntigrus tetrazona (Sumatra barb) is the source of this 319-nucleotide long non-coding RNA. RefSeq lists it as uncharacterized. The transcript has 3 exons. The record is from RefSeq and is a predicted model, not a curated record. Lineage: Eukaryota; Metazoa; Chordata; Actinopteri; Cypriniformes; Cyprinidae.